GAUGAGCGCUGGCGGCGUGCCUAAUACAUGCAAGUCGAGCGAACAGAUAAGGAGCUUGCUCCUUUGACGUUAGCGGCGGACGGGUGAGUAACACGUGGGUAACCUACCUAUAAGACUGGGAUAACUUCGGGAAACCGGAGCUAAUACCGGAUAAUAUUUCGAACCGCAUGGUUCGAUAGUGAAAGAUGGUUUUGCUAUCACUUAUAGAUGGACCCGCGCCGUAUUAGCUAGUUGGUAAGGUAACGGCUUACCAAGGCGACGAUACGUAGCCGACCUGAGAGGGUGAUCGGCCACACUGGAACUGAGGCACGGUCCAGACUCCUACGGGAGGCAGCAGUAGGGAAUCUUCCGCAAUGGGCGAAAGCCUGACGGAGCAACGCCGCGUGAGUGAUGAAGGUCUUCGGAUCGUAAAACUCUGUUAUUAGGGAAGAACAUACGUGUAAGUAACUGUGCACGUCUUGACGGUACCUAAUCAGGAAGCCACGGCUAACUACGUGCCAGCAGCCGCGGUAAUACGUAGGUGGCAAGCGUUAUCCGGAAUUAUUGGGCGUAAAGCGCGCGUAGGCGGUUUUUUAAGUCUGAUGUGAAAGCCCACGGCUCAACCGUGGAGGGUCAUUGGAAACUGGAAAACUUGAGUGCAGAAGAGGAAAGUGGAAUUCCAUGUGUAGCGGUGAAAUGCGCAGAGAUAUGGAGGAACACCAGUGGCGAAGGCGACUUUCUGGUCUGUAACUGACGCUGAUGUGCGAAAGCGUGGGGAUCAAACAGGAUUAGAUACCCUGGUAGUCCACGCCGUAAACGAUGAGUGCUAAGUGUUAGGGGGUUUCCGCCCCUUAGUGCUGCAGCUAACGCAUUAAGCACUCCGCCUGGGGAGUACGACCGCAAGGUUGAAACUCAAAGGAAUUGACGGGGACCCGCACAAGCGGUGGAGCAUGUGGUUUAAUUCGAAGCAACGCGAAGAACCUUACCAAAUCUUGACAUCCUUUGACAACUCUAGAGAUAGAGCUUCCCCCUUCGGGGGACAAAGUGACAGGUGGUGCAUGGUUGUCGUCAGCUCGUGUCGUGAGAUGUUGGGUUAAGUCCCGCAACGAGCGCAACCCUUAAGCUUAGUUGCCAUCAUUAAGUUGGGCACUCUAAGUUGACUGCCGGUGACAAACCGGAGGAAGGUGGGGAUGACGUCAAAUCAUCAUGCCCCUUAUGAUUUGGGCUACACACGUGCUACAAUGGACAAUACAAAGGGCAGCGAAACCGCGAGGUCAAGCAAAUCCCAUAAAGUUGUUCUCAGUUCGGAUUGUAGUCUGCAACUCGACUACAUGAAGCUGGAAUCGCUAGUAAUCGUAGAUCAGCAUGCUACGGUGAAUACGUUCCCGGGUCU
This 1372-nucleotide ribosomal RNA is filed under the name uncultured bacterium. RNAcentral describes it as "bacterial SSU rRNA". It matches the Rfam family "Bacterial small subunit ribosomal RNA", at positions 28 to 1381 of the family's 1533-position model. The record is from RNAcentral.